This 451-nucleotide ribosomal RNA is filed under the name uncultured bacterium. RNAcentral describes it as "bacterial SSU rRNA". It matches the Rfam family "Bacterial small subunit ribosomal RNA", at positions 354 to 796 of the family's 1533-position model. The record is from RNAcentral.
GUGGGGAAUAUUGGACAAUGGGGGGAACCCUGAUCCAGCCAUGCCGCGUGUGUGAAGAAGGCCUUUUGGUUGUAAAGCACUUUAAGCGAGGAGGAGGCUACCGAGAUUAAUACUCUUGGAUAGUGGACGUUACUCGCAGAAUAAGCACCGGCUAACUCUGUGCCAGCAGCCGCGGUAAUACAGAGGGUGCAAGCGUUAAUCGGAUUUACUGGGCGUAACGCGCGCGUAGGUGGCCAAUUAAGUCAAAUGUGAAAUCCACGAGCUUAACUUGGGAAUUGCAUUCGAUACUGGUUGGCUAGAGUAUGGGAGAGGAUGGUAGAAUUCCAGGUGUAGCGGUGAAAUGCGUAGAGAUCUGGAGGAAUACCGAUGGCGAAGGCAGCCAUCUGGCCUAAUACUGACACUGAGGUGCGAAAGCAUGGGGAGCAAACAGGAUUAGAUACCCCAGUAGUCC